Molecule: transfer RNA, 66 nt
Filed under: Siphlonurus aestivalis
Lineage: Eukaryota; Metazoa; Arthropoda; Insecta; Ephemeroptera; Siphlonuridae
Description: tRNA-Asn
Source: RNAcentral
UUAAGUAAAGCCAAAUUAGAGGCUUAUCACUGUUAAUGAUAGAACUGAGAGUAUCCUCUACUUAAA